RNAcentral lists this long non-coding RNA (3445 nucleotides) under Sus scrofa (pig). RNAcentral's name for it is "lncRNA (ENSSSCG00040069849.1)". Lineage: Eukaryota; Metazoa; Chordata; Mammalia; Artiodactyla; Suidae. The record is from RNAcentral.
UAAAGAAGGACAAAAUUAGGCAAUAACAUCCAAACUGCCUGACAACUUAUUCUUAGCCUGGCUCCUGGUGAUGGACGAAGGGAAGGAAAUGCAUGCCCAGAAAUAGAAGAACAGUGCUUUCGGUAGGAAUUUUCGCCAAGCAUCGCUCAAAGAGAAAGAAACGGGCUUAACCCUCUUUUGGAUUUCGCUGCAUCUCCUUCUAAUAAAAUUAGACUCCGUUUGAGGGUUUCUCCGGCAGCCUGCUGGAGCCCACAGUGGACAAGGCCCUUUUGAGAUAAGUCGGCGCAGAGGGACGGUGCUGAACCCACUUCAUCCACGCUGUGGGGUCCCCGCAGGGUCCUCAGUCCCACCCCCACCCGGGGCUGGGGCUCCGCCUUCAUUAGGUUCACCUGCUUCUGCGGCGCAGGACCCACGGGGAAGGUGAGACCGACGCCCCCCCCCCCCGGAGGCCGCGUUUGCACAUCUUUUCUACAGGAUGACGUGCCCACGUUGAACAGUUCAAAAUCCUGCUAAAAAAUCUGGAUUUUCGGAAACCUCUGUCUUUAAUUGUCUUUAAAUGAAAGAAGAAACAGGAAGGGACUGUUUGUCCACAACUCAGUUGAGCCUCAGUUUCCCGGGCUGUAAAAUGGGGACAAUACUACCUACUCAGGGGGUGGAGGGAUGCUGGGUUGUUUGGAUGCUUCAAUGUGUUUAAAACCAGUGGGACAGAGUCAGGCUCAGGGUGCCCCUGGGCUGUGGCUGUGGUUGUGGUUUCUUCUAACAGACCCUGGGACAGUGAGACCUGGAUCUGCCCUCAAGGGGCCAAGCUACCACCUGUACAGAGACAUACAACAUGAUGAGUCCCUAGUGUGUCCAUUCAUCCAGGGGACAGAAGCACAGAGGUGAGGACCCCCAGGGCAGGUGCAGAAUGGCAGGAAGGAGGUGGCUACUGACAGGAGGGAUGCCUGAGCCAAGUCCAGGGGACAAAGGAGGUUUCUCCAGGUGCAGGGAGUGGGGGAGGGAUGUGGGGGCCAGAGGACAGUACAGGCACAGGAAAAAGAUGUACAAAGCCUCCACGUGUUUGGGGACCCACGGGGCGCCCAGUGCUCUUGGGAUCUGGGGAGAUGGAAAUUUCCCUGAGGAAUCAACUCCCCUCAUGCUCUCGUGCCUAGACCAUGUGCUUCAGCCUAAACUGAUGCCACCUUCAGCCCCACAAGUGGACAUGUGUCCCCAGGCCAGACCAGGGCACACAUGCUAUUCUAUGGCCACAGAAACACAGGAGUAAGAACGGACACUACAUCCAACUCCAUUGAAACCUGGGAUCUUGUUGGAAGUGUUCAAGAAAAGAAGCUUCAUUUUUCUGGACUUGAAUAGGAAAUAACAUAAAUCUCCAGGUAUUGGAGGCCUAUGUAUAGAGAGAGUCCAUCUGAGAAUAAAUACAAGUUAUUGGAACUAAAGGAUGGAGAGAAAGCAAAUUCUAAUGAGCUUCUGAGCCAAAUGGGUUUGUCACCACUCUGGCCUCUUUUAGUUACUUGAGCCAAUAUGCUUCCUUUACUGGCUCAAGCAAGUGAGAUUUGAACUUCUGCUACUUAUGAACAAAGAAAAUGCCCAAAAUAUAACUAGGGAGGGAAUUCAAGUUACACCUGCCAGACCCCAUGGGCUGACACAACGGUCCAACCCACCCGUCUGGAUAGUAACUUCUUUUUGUUUCUUUUUAGGGCCACACCUGCAGCAUAGGGAAGUUUCCAGGCUAGGGGUCGAAUCAGAGCUGCAGCUACUGGCAUACACCACAGCUACAGCAACACCAGAUCCGAGCUGCAUCUCUUAACCCACCAAGCGAGGCCAGGUAUUGAACCUGCAUCCUCACAGACAGUAUGUUGGGUUCUUAACCUGCUGAAUCACAACAGGAACUCCUAGGUAAUGAUAUUUUCAGCUCAGUGAGUGCAGUUCAUGUCUCUCUAGAGCAGCAAUGCUAAGAGGUAUGUAUAUUCCCUAUAAUAUUAUAACUCUCAAGAUUCAACCUUGAGGAAGACUUAGUCACCCGGCCUUCUGGCAGCUGCUCAGAAUUAACCCAGGAAAUUCAACUGAUCUCUCAAAGCUCAUAUUUUCUCCAGAGGUACAUGGGAUUCUGUUUAGGAAACAUGCAAUUCCUAUAAGCUGCAGGGAAAUUUUGAUUUCCCACUGACAGCACAUCCAUCAGAAGAUUCUGCCUUCAGGGUAGGCAGGCAAGUUUGAAAAUGCUUCCUGGCAUUGGGGGCAGUGGGCUAUGCAAAACAGGAGAGGUUUAGCAUGUGAUGGCCCUUUUAUUAGUCCUUUAAUGUUAUUUAUUUAUUUAUUUAUCAGUCCUUUCAUUAGUCUUUCAGUUUAUUUUAUUGUAUUAGUCUUUUAUUGACCUUUUAAGUUAUUUUAUUUAUUUUAUUAGUCCUUUAACUUUAUUUUUUACUUUAUUUAUUAGGCCUUUUAUUAGUCUUUUUAGUUAUUUAUUUUAUUUUAUUUUGCUAGUCCUUUUAUAAGUUUUAUUUAUUUUAUUUAUUUUAUUUUAUUAGUCUUUUAUUGGUCUUUUAAUUUCUUUUAUUUAUUUUAUUAGUCCUUUAUUUUAUUUUUUAAUUUUAUUUAUUAGUCCUUUUAUUAGUCUUUUAGUUUAUUUUAUUUUUUAUUUAUUUUAUUUAUUUUAUUAGUCCUUUAAUUUUGUUUAUUUUAUUUGAUUUACCAUCCUUUUAUUAGUCUUUUAAUUUUGUUAAUUUAAUUUAAUUUAUUUUAUUUGGCUAGUUCUUUUAUUAGUCUUGUAUUUUAUUUUAUUUUAUUAGUCUUUUAUUGGUCUUUUAAUUUCUUUUAUUUAUUUUAUUAGUCCUUUAAUUUUAUUUGAUUUGAUUUACCCAUCCUUUUAUUAGUCUUUUAAUUUUAUUAAUUUUAUUUUAUUUUGUUAGCCCUUUUAUGUAUCCUUUUCUUAGUCCUUUAAUUUGUUUAUUUUUAUUUAUUUACUUUUAUUUAUUUUAUUAAUCCUUUUGCAUCUCAUUGCUGCUAGUCCAGCUAAUACUAGAGCCAAGGAACUGAAUUAUUGCAGGAAUAAGAUGGAAGGUGCCAUCCUUGAGGCCCACCUGGUUGUAUUUUUAUUUCUCUCCAGGGGCGAAGUGUUCAUUCCCUAGAGCCUUCUGGGGUCCUGGCAACCACAGUGCAUUGACAGACAAUACCAUUUUUAAUCACAUAAAAACAAGAGUCCAACAGCAUGAGCUAAGGAGAACGACACUCAAAAAUUAUAACAUACAAUGAAAUAGAUAACCAACAAGGACCUACUGUAGAGCACAGGAGACUCUACUCCAUCUCUUACAAUAGUCUGUUGAGGAAAAGAAUCUGAAAAAGAACAGAUAUGUGUAUGUGUAACUGAAUCACUCUGCUGUAUACCUGAAACCAAUACAAGACUGUAAACAAACUAGACGCCAAUAAAAUAAAUUUAAAAAAUAAAAUG